RNAcentral lists this ribosomal RNA (632 nucleotides) under Actinokineospora sp. SCAU5231. Its description in RNAcentral is "bacterial SSU rRNA". It matches the Rfam family "Bacterial small subunit ribosomal RNA", at positions 52 to 701 of the family's 1533-position model. Lineage: Bacteria; Bacillati; Actinomycetota; Actinomycetes; Pseudonocardiales; Pseudonocardiaceae. The record is from RNAcentral.
CACAUGCAAGUCGAGCGGUAAGGCCCUUCGGGGUACACGAGCGGCGAACGGGUGAGUAACACGUGGGUAAUCUGCCCCAUACUCUGGGAUAAGCCUUGGAAACGAGGUCUAAUACCGGAUAUGACUCUUCACCGCAUGGUGGGGGGUGGAAAGUUCCGGCGGUAUGGGAUGAACCCGCGGCCUAUCAGCUUGUUGGUGGGGUAGUGGCCUACCAAGGCGACGACGGGUAGCCGGCCUGAGAGGGCGACCGGCCACACUGGGACUGAGACACGGCCCAGACUCCUACGGGAGGCAGCAGUGGGGAAUAUUGCACAAUGGGCGAAAGCCUGAUGCAGCGACGCCGCGUGAGGGAUGACGGCCUUCGGGUUGUAAACCUCUUUCAGCAGGGACGAAGCGCAAGUGACGGUACCUGCAGAAGAAGCACCGGCUAACUACGUGCCAGCAGCCGCGGUAAUACGUAGGGUGCGAGCGUUGUCCGGAAUUAUUGGGCGUAAAGAGCUCGUAGGCGGUUUGUCGCGUCGGCCGUGAAAACCUGCAGCUUAACUGUGGGCCUGCGGUCGAUACGGGCAGACUUGAGUUCGGUAGGGGAGACUGGAAUUCCUGGUGUAGCGGUGAAAUGCGCAGAUAUCAGG